RNAcentral lists this ribosomal RNA (473 nucleotides) under uncultured bacterium. RNAcentral's name for it is "partial 16S ribosomal RNA". It matches the Rfam family "Bacterial small subunit ribosomal RNA", at positions 28 to 507 of the family's 1533-position model. The record is from RNAcentral.
GAUAAACGCUGGCGGCGCACAUAAGACAUGCAAGUUGAACGGACUUAAUCGAACUAUUUCUAUUUUGAAGCGGUUAGUGGCGGACUGGUGAGUAACGCGUAAGGAACCUGCCUAUUAGAGGGGAAUAACAGUGAGAAAUCAUUGCUAAUACCGCAUAUGCCAUAGAUAUCACAUGAUAACAGUGGGAAAGGAGCAAUCCGCUAAUAGAUGGCCUUGCGUCUGAUUAGAUAGUUGGUGGGGUAACGGCCUACCAAGUCGACGAUCAGUAGCCGGACUGAGAGGGUGGACGGCCACAUUGGGACUGAGAUACGGACCAGACUCCUACGGGAGGCAGCAGGCGGGAAGAUUGCGCAAUGGAGGAAACUCUGACGCAGUGACGCCGCGUAGAGGAAGAAGGUUUUCGGAUUGUAAACUAUUGUCGUUAGGGAAGAGAAAGGACAGUACCUAAGGAGGAAGCUCCGGCUAACUACGUG